This 36-nucleotide ribosomal RNA is filed under the name Lentinula edodes (shiitake mushroom). RNAcentral describes it as "partial 25S rRNA". Lineage: Eukaryota; Fungi; Basidiomycota; Agaricomycetes; Agaricales; Omphalotaceae. The record is from RNAcentral.
GCUUGACCUCAAAUCAGGUAGGAUUACCCNCUGAAC